UACGGAGGGGGCUAGCGUUGUUCGGAAUUACUGGGCGUAAAGCGCACGUAGGCGGCUUUGUAAGUUAGAGGUGAAAGCCCGGAGCUCAACUCCGGAACUGCCUUUAAGACUGCAUCGCUAGAAUUGUGGAGAGGUGAGUGGAAUUCCGAGUGUAGAGGUGAAAUUCGUAGAUAUUCGGAAGAACACCAGUGGCGAAGGCGACUCACUGGACACAUAUUGACGCUGAGGUGCGAAAGCGUGGGGAGCAAACAGG
Molecule: ribosomal RNA, 253 nt
Filed under: uncultured bacterium
Lineage: Bacteria
Description: partial 16S ribosomal RNA
Rfam family: Bacterial small subunit ribosomal RNA
Source: RNAcentral